This 341-nucleotide ribosomal RNA is filed under the name uncultured Streptococcus sp. Its description in RNAcentral is "bacterial SSU rRNA". It matches the Rfam family "Bacterial small subunit ribosomal RNA", at positions 1040 to 1382 of the family's 1533-position model. The record is from RNAcentral. Lineage: Bacteria; Bacillati; Bacillota; Bacilli; Lactobacillales; Streptococcaceae.
GGUGCAUGGUUGUCGUCAGCUCGUGUCGUGAGAUGUUGGGUUAAGUCCCGCAACGAGCGCAACCCCUAUUGUUAGUUGCCAUCAUUCAGUUGGGCACUCUAGCGAGACUGCCGGUAAUAAACCGGAGGAAGGUGGGGAUGACGUCAAAUCAUCAUGCCCCUUAUGACCUGGGCUACACACGUGCUACAAUGGUUGGUACAACGAGUUGCGAGUCGGUGACGGCGAGCUAAUCUCUUAAAGCCAAUCUCAGUUCGGAUUGUAGGCUGCAACUCGCCUACAUGAAGUCGGAAUCGCUAGUAAUCGCGGAUCAGCACGCCACGGUGAAUACGUUCCCGGGCCUU